This 484-nucleotide ribosomal RNA is filed under the name uncultured bacterium. RNAcentral's name for it is "partial 16S ribosomal RNA". It matches the Rfam family "Bacterial small subunit ribosomal RNA", at positions 28 to 507 of the family's 1533-position model. The record is from RNAcentral.
GUUGAACGCUGGCGGCAGGCCUAACACAUGCAAGUCGAGCGGAUGAAGGGAGCUUGCUCCUGGAUUCAGCGGCGGACGGGUGAGUAAUGCCUAGGAAUCUGCCUGGUAGUGGGGGAUAACGUCCGGAAACGGGCGCUAAUACCGCAUACGUCCUGAGGGAGAAAGUGGGGGAUCUUCGGACCUCACGCUAUCAGAUGAGCCUAGGGCGGAUUAGCUAGUUGGUGGGGUAAAGGCCUACCAAGGCGACGAUCCGUAACUGGUCUGAGAGGAUGAUCAGUCACACUGGAGCUGAGACACGGUCCAUACUCCUACGGGAGGCAGCAGUGGGGAAUAUUGGGCAAUGGGCGAAAGCCUGAUCCAGCCAUGCCGCGUGUGUGAAGAAGGUCUUCGGAUUGUAAAGCACUUUUAGUUGGGAGGAAGGGCAGUAAGUUAAUACCUUGCUGUUGUGACGUUACCAACAGAAUAAGCACCGGCUAACUUCGUG